Molecule: long non-coding RNA, 3631 nt
Filed under: Homo sapiens (human)
Lineage: Eukaryota; Metazoa; Chordata; Mammalia; Primates; Hominidae
Description: HSALNT0242618
Source: RNAcentral
AGAAGUUGGAGAGGACAUGACUUCUGUGAGCUAAAUGAUAACGUCUUCAAUGAAGGAAGAGGGAAGGGCUGGUAAGUAGGUCUAUAAAUGACUGCUAUUUUGAAGGGAGUGAGCUAUAGCAAGAUGAGCUCAAAAGAACAAGGCAUUUCACUGAGGAAAAUAUUUGAUCUGAAGUUGGUUGAAUCAGAAGACGCCAAACCGGCAGAUAUGGAGGACCAACAGUGUAUGCUUAAUUGUUUAUGUUGGUUUCAAGAACCCUUUCAUAUAGGAUUAAUGCUUCCUGAUGAUCAUUAUACUAGGUGCUAAGAUGUUGACAUGUGCAGAAGACCAGUUAUGAUAUUUCCUAGUUUGUUCACCAAAAUAAUUCAGUCUACAUCCAUUUGUUGCCUAUCAAUGACAGACUGGAUAAAGAAAAUGUAGUAUAUAUACACCCCGGAAUACCAGGCAGCCAUAAACAAGAACAAGAUCACGUCUUUUGUGGGAACAUGGAUGGAGCUGGAGGCUGUUAUCCUUAGCAAACUAACGCAGGAACAGAAAACCAAAUACCACAUAUUCUCAGUUACAAGUGGGAGUUAAAUAAUAACAACUUAUGAACACAAAUAAGGAGACAACAGACACUGCGAUGUACUUGAGGGUGGAGGGUAGGAGGAGGAAAAGGAGCAGAAAAGAUAAGUAUCAGGUACUGGGCUUAACACCUGAGUGAUGAAAUAGCAUGUACAACAAACCCCCAUGACACGUUUACCUAUGUAACAAACCUUCACAGGUACCCCCAAACCUAAAAUAAAAGUUAGAAAACAAAAAAAAAACUUGCCUUGAUUUCUGUCAGGUUUCUAAAUUUUCUGGAUCCAGACAAAGAUAUAUUAAUUUGUUUUAUACUCAUUUGUUUUCUUCUUUAAUGAUAUUUAUUCAAUUGAAAAGUGUGUACUAUUAUUACCUAAAACCAUUAAAAUUUAGUGAGAGGUUAAGGGAAUGCCAUAAUUAAUGUUUAAUAGUUGUCAGAAUACAAAAUUAUUUUAACAGCUUUGUUGAGGUGUAAUUAACAUACAAUAAACUGCAUACUGAAGAUAUAUAAUUUGAUAAGUUUCAAUGUGCAUACAUACUCAUCAUAAUCACCAUAAUAAAUACAUUAUAUAUAUAUGCAUCACUCCAAAAAGUUUUCACAUGUCCCUUUGUAAUACCUCCCUCUUCUCCUCCCCUCAACAAUCACGCUACUGGUUUGUGUCUUUUUGUAGAAUUUAAAUACAUGAAAUUGUUCAUGCAGUGUGAUACUUUUUUUAAAUCUUAAAUCUUUUCUCAGAAUAAUUCUUUUGAGACUCAUUCGUGUAGUGGAAUGUACCAAAUGUAUUAUUUUUUAUUGUAGAGUGGAAUUUAUUGUAUGCAUAUAUCAUAAUGUGUUUUCAUAUUUAUCUGUUGAUGAAAAGUUGACUUGUUUUUAAUUUUUGCUAUCACAAGUAAAACUUCUGAACACAUUUGUGUAUGAGUCUGUAUGUAGGCACAUACUUUCAUUUUAUUUGGUACUAACACCAAGGAGUAGAAUAAUUGGAUCUUAUGGUAGGUUUAUAUUUAACUUUUUAGAAAACUGCCACAUUAUUUUCCAAAGUUGUUGUUUUUUUUCACAUUCUCAACACCAAUGCAUGAAGAGUUCCAGUUACUCUACAUCCUCAUUAAUAGUUGGUAUGGUCACAUAUUUAAAUUUUUGCUCUUUUUAUAGAUCAGUGGUAAUAUCUCAUCAGUUUUAAUUUGCAUGUCACUUAUAAUUAAUAAUGUUAAGAAUAUUUUCAUGUGCUUAUUUGCCAUCCAUAUAUCUUCCUGGGUAUUGGUUGUCUGUUUUCUUAUUAUUGUAAAUUUUGAGAGUGUAUUAUAUAUUCAGAAUACACAUCCAUUAUCAAAUAUGUGAUUAACAAGUAUUUUCUCCAAGUCUAGGGUUUGUAUUUUCAUUCUCUUAACAGUGUCUUUGAAAUACCAAAAGUUAUUAAUUUUGAUGAAGUCUGAUUUACCAAUACUUUAUUUAGUAGAUCAUGCUUUGGUGUCAUAUCUAAGAUACCUGAAUAAUAUCGAAUUAUCUGACUGAUGAAAAUUAUAUGUCUCUCUUUACUAAGAUAUUUUGUAAAAAUUUCUCUCAGCAAUAUUUUAUCGUUUUUCAGUCUAAAAGUCUUCCAUUUGUUUUGCCAGAUUUAUCUCAAAUAUUUCAUAUAUUUUAAUUCUUUUAAUGAAUAUCAAUUAAAUAUCAACAUCUGAUUACCCAUUAUUAGUAUACAGAAGCACAACUGAUUUUACGUAUUGCCCUUGUAUUCUGAAAUUCUGCUAAACUCUCAUUACCAGCUUUUCUGUAGAUUCCACUGGAUUUUCUAUAUAAAUCAUCAUGUAUCUGUGAAUAAAGACCAAAUUAUUUAUUCUUUUAAUUACUUAUUUUCAAUAUGGAUGCAGUUAAUUUUGUUUUCGUGCCUGAUUGCACUGGCUAGCACUUGUAAUACACUGUUGAAUAGAAUUGGUGAGAGUGGACAUCCUUGCCUUGUUCUUGAUUUAAGGGGGAAAACAAUUAUCAUUUAAAAGAGGCUUUCAUUAUUAAACAUGAUGUUACCUACAGACUUUCUUUGAAUGUCUUUUGUAGUUUGAGAAGUAUCAUUCUAUUUCUAGUUUUCUAAGAAUUUUUGUCAGGAAUGGAUGUUAGAAUUUGUCAAAUAUAUUUUCUGCAUCUAUUGAGAUUAUCAUGUGUCUAUUUUAUUUAGUUUGUUAAUAUGGUCAAUAUUAUUGAUUAAUUUUUAAAUAAUAAACUAAGUUAUGCAUCAUUCCUGCAAUAAAUUCCACUUGGUCCUGGUAUUCUAUUCUUUCAUAUAUUGUUGGAUUCACUUUGCUAAAAUUUUCUUAAGAAUUUCUGUAUGUGUUCAUGAAGGAUAGUCAUUUAUAGUUUUCUUUUCGUAACAUGUCCUUGUCCAAUUUUUGUAAUAGUGUAAGACUUUCCUGAUAACAUAAGUUUGCAAAUAUUCCUUCGUCACACAUUUUCUGGAAGAGUUUGUUUAAAAUUCAUAUAGUAUUUUCCCGAAAUGUUUGGUAGAAUUCACCAUGGGAGUCAUCUUGGUCUGGUGUUUUUUUUGUUAUUAGAAGGUUUUUUUUUUUAUUUUUUUUCACUGCAAAAGUAACUUAUUUAACAGAUAUAGGGUUAUUAAAGCAAUCUAAUUCCAUUUGAGUAAACUAUCAUUUACUUUGGUAGUUUAUGCAUUGCAAUGCAUGCUCGUUUUGCCUAAAUUGUCAAUUUUAUUAGCAUAACAUUAUUCAUAAUGUUAUCCUGUUAAUGUCUUUAAAUCUAUAAUGUCUCCUUUCAUGUUCCUACAGCAGCUAACUUAUACUUUCUCUCUUAUUUUUUCUGAUCGGUCUGGCUCUGGAAUUUUGUCAAGUUUGUUGAUAUCAUCAAAUAAUUAACUUUGAUCCAUUCAUUGUUUUUUCUUUUUUCUCUUUUCUGUUUCAUUUGUUUCCACCUCAAGCUUUUGCCCCAAAUUCUUAUGUUUCUUUUGGUCUGUAUUUGCUCUCACUUUCUAGUUCUUAAGGAGAAAAAAGUGAAGUCGCUAAUUUCAGACGUUUCUUCUUUAUUAGGCAUUUAUGUUUAUAUAUUGUCUAAUAAAUAUGGCUAUAG